GAACGCUGGCGGCAUGCCUUACACAUGCAAGUCGAACGGCAGCACGGGAGCAAUCCUGGUGGCGAGUGGCGAACGGGUGAGUAAUAUAUCGGAACGUGCCCAGUCGUGGGGGAUAACGUAGCGAAAGCUACGCUAAUACCGCAUACGAUCUAUGGAUGAAAGCGGGGGAUCGCAAGACCUCGCGCGAUUGGAGCGGCCGAUAUCAGAUUAGGUAGUUGGUGAGGUAAAGGCUCACCAAGCCGACGAUCUGUAGCUGGUCUGAGAGGACGACCAGCCACACUGGGACUGAGACACGGCCCAGACUCCUACGGGAGGCAGCAGUGGGGAAUUUCGGACAAUGGGCGCAAGCCUGAUCCAGCAAUGCCGCGUGCAGGAUGAAGGCCUUCGGGUUGUAAACUGCUUUUGUACGGAACGAAACGGUGAGCUCUAAUACAGUUUGCUAAUGACGGUACCGUAAGAAUAAGCACCGGCUAACUACGUG
Molecule: ribosomal RNA, 481 nt
Filed under: uncultured bacterium
Lineage: Bacteria
Description: bacterial SSU rRNA
Rfam family: Bacterial small subunit ribosomal RNA
Source: RNAcentral